This 623-nucleotide ribosomal RNA is filed under the name uncultured bacterium. RNAcentral's name for it is "bacterial SSU rRNA". The stretch from base 1 to 531 matches the Rfam family "Bacterial small subunit ribosomal RNA", at positions 338 to 873 of the family's 1533-position model. The record is from RNAcentral.
CCUACGGGAGGCAGCAGUGAGGAAUAUUGGACAAUGGGCGCAAGCCUGAUCCAGCCAUACCGCGUGCAGGAAGAAGCAUCUAUGGUGUGUAAACUGCUUUUGUACAGGAAGAAACACUCCCUCGUGAGGGAGCUUGACGGUACUGUAAGAAUAAGGACCGGCUAACUCCGUGCCAGCAGCCGCGGUAAUACGGAGGGUCCGAGCGUUAUCCGGAAUCAUUGGGUUUAAAGGGUCCGUAGGCGGUUUAAUAAGUCAGUGGUGAAAUCUGGUCGCUCAACGAUCAAACGGCCAUUGAUACUGUUAGACUUGAAUUAUAAGGAAGUAACUAGAAUAUGUAGUGUAGCGGUGAAAUGCUUAGAUAUUACAUGGAAUACCAAUUGCGAAGGCAGGUUACUACUUAUGGAUUGACGCUGAUGGACGAAAGCGUGGGGAGCGAACAGGAUUAGAUACCCUGGUAGUCCACGCCGUAAACGAUGGAUACUAGCUGUUCGGAGCAAUCUGAGUGNGUAGAGAAGAGAGUAGUAGUCCNCCGCGGGAGGUACGUUCGUCGAGAAGUUAGUAACGUUACGAAAGGAAGUUAGUUACGGCGUGAGACGNGCGACGGACGACGACGAGGGAGGAGG